GAGGAAGCCGGUGUUCCCAGGGAGAACCCUUGCAGACACGGGUGAGGCAACAGUGUUGAUCGCUGUGCCAUCCUACUGCCCCUCCUUGGUGACGCUGUCUCAUUCAAAUGUCUGCCCUAUCAGCUUUCAGUGGUACUUUAGAUGCCUACUAUGGUGACCACGGCUAACAGGGAAUCAGGGUUCGAUUCUGGAGAGAAAACACUACCACAACCAGCUAAGGCAGUAGGCGCACAAAUUUCCCACUCCUGACUCAGGGAGGUA
RNAcentral lists this non-coding RNA (261 nucleotides) under Oreochromis niloticus (Nile tilapia). Its description in RNAcentral is "Eukaryotic small subunit ribosomal RNA". It matches the Rfam family "Eukaryotic small subunit ribosomal RNA", at positions 216 to 466 of the family's 1831-position model. Lineage: Eukaryota; Metazoa; Chordata; Actinopteri; Cichliformes; Cichlidae. The record is from Rfam by way of RNAcentral.